Branchiostoma floridae (Florida lancelet) is the source of this 1211-nucleotide long non-coding RNA. RefSeq lists it as uncharacterized. The record is from RefSeq and is a predicted model, not a curated record. Lineage: Eukaryota; Metazoa; Chordata; Leptocardii; Amphioxiformes; Branchiostomatidae. The transcript is spliced from 4 exons.
GGAGGUGCAAUUAGGUGAGGGGUAGAGUUGUGGUGGGAGGUGCACUAAGGCGAGGGGUACAGUUGUGGUGGGAGGUGCACUAAGGUGAAGGGUAGAGUUGUGGUGGUAAACGUUUGUACAAGGGGUAAAUUUAGGGUAAGUCCCAGCUUAUUUGUAGUGUUUGUUAGUUGAAAUUUAGUUUAUCCAUAAUGUAUUCUAUAAGGUUUGAAAACUUUAUAUUAAAUCACACAUGUGCUUGGCUGUUGAGACCAACCUCCUCACUCCCUCUGGAAAGGGCUGACACCACAUGUAGUACACUUUCACUCACAAUUCAGGAAAGGACACUUUUACUUUUACUCACCCGAGGAAAGGACACUUUUACUUUUACUCACACCUGAGGAAAUGCUAAAUUUUACUCACAUGUUUGGGAAACAAUGGACCAAUCACAAUUGUCAAGCAAAAGUGACACAGAACAAAGAAGACACUAGAUCGGUGAGUUAAAUGACUUUGUACCUUCGUCCACGAUGUAGGUUAGAGCAGCCAGGCCCACAGCAGCUAACAGGAGCGCCAGCAUCAGCCUGCAAAACAGACAAGGUAAUCAGGGGCCAUUCCAUCCCAGAUGCCCUGACACCAACCGGACCACUUACCAGUUUAAGGCGGAGCUGCCAUGGCUGUACAGAACCACAGCGAUCGCAGCGCCGAUGACAUAGGAGACAGCAGUCACGCCCAGUAUCAGGCUCUGUGGGCGCCAGCUAGCUGCCGGCCAUGGCCAGCAUCACCACCUGCGCAGCCUCCACCAGCAGUAGUGCCGGCUCCGACACCAGUAGCAGUUUGUCGUACAGCCAGACGAGCGCCUACGGCAGCAGGUUCACGGGCAGCGAGAGGAUCAGCGCCAGAGCUCCCACCUGUAGGUACGGCGCCACGAAAGCCUGCAGACAGAAGGAUCACCAUGGUUACACAAACAAACAACCCCUCACCAGUCCCACCUGCAGGUACGGCGCCACAAAAGCCUGCAGACAGAAGGAUCACCAUGGUUACACAAACAAACAACCCCUCACCAGUCCUACCUGCAGGUGCGGCGCCACAAAAGCCUGUAGACAGAAGGGUAGAGGAAUCGGCAUGGUCACACAAACUACUAUAUCAUUCCAGUGACCAGGCUCUUUUCUUCUUCAGACUUGAAAGCAAAAAAAAUCUUUGAUAAAGCUGUUCAAAAUAAAGUCUUAUAGACAGAU